Molecule: ribosomal RNA, 576 nt
Filed under: uncultured Ascomycota
Lineage: Eukaryota; Fungi; Ascomycota
Description: eukaryotic LSU rRNA
Rfam family: 5.8S ribosomal RNA (bases 124-277)
Source: RNAcentral
UUUUUAAUCCAUAUCCACCUUGUGUGCAAUGUCAGUUGUUCUCUUUUUUGAGAAUGACCAAACGUCAACUUAAAUUUUAACUCUUUGUCUGAAAAAUAUUAUGAAUAAAAUAAUUCAAAAUACAACUUUCAACAACGGAUCUCUUGGCUCUCGCAUCGAUGAAGAACGCAGCGAAAUGCGAUACGUAAUGUGAAUUGCAGAAUUCAGUGAAUCAUCGAAUCUUUGAACGCAUAUUGCGCUCUUUGGUAUUCCGAAGAGCAUGCUUGUUUGAGUAUCAGUAAACACCUCAAAGACUUCAAUUUGUUUUGAAUGGCUUUGGACUUGAGCAAUCCCAACACCAGUCUUUACGAUCGGUGGAGGGUUGCUUGAAAUGCAGGUGCAGCUGGACAUUCUCCUGAGCUAAAAGCAUAUUUAUUUAGUCCCGUCAAACGGAUUAUUACUUUUGCUGCAGCUAACAUAAAGGGAGUUUGACCGUAUUGGCUGACUGAUGCAGGAUUUCACAAGGGUCGGCAACGAUUCUUGUAAAACUCGAUCUCAAAUCAAGUAAGACUACCCGCUGAACUUAAGCAUAUCAAU